AAAAGUACCGGUUGCUGCUGUAGCUGUGGCCAACUGGAUUUUGAUGGAUGAUUUUGUGAGGAAAAUGCUGCUGGAAUGGGGGAUGGAGGAGUUAAUACACACUUUCAAGGGAUGUCAGAGCUAUCCUGAUGGACUCUUUUAACGGAGAGAACUUCGUGAAGGAAAUGGAUAAUGGAAUGCUUUCUGUACAAUCUCGCAUAAAGGUUGUGCGAAUCCUGGUGUCUUGGUUAAUACAAGAAUUUACAAGCAAGCCACCUACAGAUGUCAAGGUCGCUCUAGCCAAGGCGGUGGUGUCGCAAUUUCCCAAGCUAAAGGACCUUGAAGGAGUAGGUCAUGAAGCAUGGUAUUCUCCAGCUAGGGAGACUACGGGAGGCAUCUGGAUAUUUGGAAUAUCGACUUGUAAAUGUACGAAAGAGAGGACAAAAAAGUGCACCAAUUACAUCGGAGCCAAAGAAGACACCCAAAGCCACCAUGGGAGACUUAACAGAUUCAGCAGGACUUCAGGAUUCUUUAUCCAGAGGUUGCAGAUAAGCUGUUCUUAGAGUGGCCCAAAAUAGCUCCCCUGGUACUGAAGUAUGCAGACCUCCAUAACCCGACAUGGCGGGAAUCUUUGACUGUUCCACAUCUCGCAUCUUCUGACUUGACAUGUCCUGCAGCAGAAGUGGAGACCAUGGCACUUCUUGCGCUUCCUCAAAUCUCGCCUCCAGGAAUGAAGAAGGUGGGGAAGCGUAGUAUGAGAUGCAGCAGGGCAGAAUCAUCCAAAGCCUUCAUCAACAUCAGCCCAGUGGGGACAAACCUUCCAGAGUACCUAGAGAACUGCCAGCAAAAGCAACCUUUUGUGCUCGCCCUUGGAGACAUCCUCAAGCCAGAGCAAGUGUUCGUUAUUUGCGAUGGUGCUGCCUUGGAAGCAAUGUCCCUCAUUCACGGAGCGGACCUUUGCUUUAAGGCCAUCUAUAUAUUCUGUGGGUAAAUUAUCCUUGGGAGGCAGCCAACACUUAUGACUUCCUGCAGAAAGUCAUUUACAACGCCAUCUAGUACCAUUUCCCUUAGGCUUACAUCUCUAAUCUUUUAUCAUAGAGUCCUAGGCAUGGAGUGGUGCAAGAAACUUGCAAUUGAUUGCAAGUCAUUUUCAUGUACCGGCCUAAUCAAUCAUUAAUCUUACAAUCAAUUUCAAAUUUGCAAUUGAUUGCUGGUCAACAAAUAUAAAUUAUUUGCUUUAGUUAAGAUUGUUGUAUCACUUGUAAAUUUUUCAACCAAAAUUUGUGAUUGAUUGUAAAUGUUUUCUUGCAACACCCCCUAAGAAGAACAAACUGCUGUUUGGGGAAUUGUUCCUGGAGUAUGCAGAUUGAAAUGCUAUCUUGUACAUGUUUACUGAAGUCAUAUCAAAACUCCAAGCAAACUAUACUGUUUUGACAUAUUUUGCAAAUGUGGGCUACUACCUUUAAAGUCUUAUUCAAACAAGGCACGACAAAGCUCAGCAACUUUUGUGUACAAAGUCAAUGGGAUAUGAGGCGUCAAAUAUGUUUCAGAGACAAGUGACCUUUUUUGAAAAGUAGACCAAUUAAAUUUCUUUAAAUAGCGCAAAAUAAUUUUUCCAGAUGAUCUUUAUACAGGUUAUAGUUAUACUAUGUUACGUGUGAUGAUGCAAAAUCCUUUUUGUGCCACUUUCACCAUUUAACAUAGGAAUUGGUAAGAAGGUCAUACUGGCUGUUACUUGAAUAAAUUCAUGAAAAUGGUCUAAACAAUGACAACAGGCUACAUCUGGAGGAAUAACAUAAUUCUUAAAAAAUGGAAUUUCUCGGAUUGUCAUCAGACCUACCAACUUCUCCUUUUUAAAAGGAGUUACUCCUUUUUAGAAAUUUUAAUAUACAUUAUACCAUAUGGUUAAAGAAAUCUUAUUGUCCAGGUAUCUUACACUAAUCUAUGUGAAAUAUGCUGUGACUCCUAUUUUUUAAAUGAAUCAGUCCUAUAUUUAAGUUUACAGGUUGGUAGGCAUGU
Molecule: RNA transcript, 1998 nt
Organism: Lytechinus variegatus (green sea urchin)
Lineage: Eukaryota; Metazoa; Echinodermata; Echinoidea; Temnopleuroida; Toxopneustidae
Exons: 7
Source: RefSeq, a predicted model, not a curated record